This 1073-nucleotide long non-coding RNA is filed under the name Canis lupus familiaris (dog). RNAcentral describes it as "lncRNA (ENSCAFG00000041553.2)". Lineage: Eukaryota; Metazoa; Chordata; Mammalia; Carnivora; Canidae. The record is from RNAcentral.
GACCUCAGUGAACAUUUGUGGAACUGACCCACGCUGGGCUGGGCGCUGCCUCUCUUCUUGGCAAGGAGAAGAUGGGCCACAAAACGGGAGAUCUCAGCCGCCCAGGCGACCCCUCCCCAGGUGUGGAUGCGGUCCUCAGAGCAGGAUCGAGGGAACUGAGACUGAGCUGCACUUCCUACCUGAGUGGGGGGCCACCUGUGCACAUGGCCAGCGCUUCCCUGGGUUUCUCCUUCUGCUGUCCCCCUGAGCUCCAUGCACCAGGUGUGGACGCAGCACCUGCUGGAGGUGAGUCAAGCUCUCCAGGAGGAGUGCAGGGGGAUGGGGGGCCUCCUCCACUCAGCCCGGGGUUAUCUGCUCUCAGUCCGAGGCUGCAGCCUCUCCUCCAGGACUAACUGCCUUUAAGGACUGCCCUCCCCACCCCAGCAAAGGCCCACUGCCCCGCUGAACCCGGAGACCCCUCCUCCCCGACCCCCAGCUCUUUCUCAGCCCCCAGGUCCCAGUUGUCUGCAAGCUCCAGGCAAAACCUGGACUCUCUUUCCAGAGCCACAUGCCAACGCACCACCUUUGACACAGCAGUGCCCCACCUGAGAGUCUACCCUAAGGGAAUAACCCUCAAAAACUGAAAAAGCUGGGCGGCCCCGGUGGCUCAGUGGUUUAAGUGCCACCUUCAGCCUGGGGUAUGAUCCUGGAGACCCGGGAUCGAGUCCCGAGUCCCGCGUCAGGCUCCCUGCAUGGAGCCUGCUUCUCCCUCUGCCUGUGUCUCUGCUUCUCUCUCUCUGUUUCUCAUGAAUAAAUAAAUAAAAUCUUAAAACAAAAACUGAAAAAGCUCUUGGAACAAAGUAUUUCUGAAAGCAGGGAACUGGAAGCAGCUGGGGAGCAGCAGCACGCCCAUUGUAAAAGCUAAUUGUGAGCACGAUUGCAACACCGGGAAUCGCUAAAGAUACAGCGUUGAGUGCAAAAUUGCAUUGGGCGGGAGUUCAGCGGUGGAAAAGUUGUAUAUUUGCCCCUACAAGGGCCAGACGGGGAAAAAAAAAAAAGAGAAAAAAAAAAAAGAAAAGAAAACCAGUAUGCCC